This 346-nucleotide ribosomal RNA is filed under the name uncultured fungus. RNAcentral's name for it is "SSU rRNA". It matches the Rfam family "Eukaryotic small subunit ribosomal RNA", at positions 20 to 370 of the family's 1831-position model. The record is from RNAcentral. Lineage: Eukaryota; Fungi.
GUAGUCAUAUGCUUGUCUCAAAGAUUAAGCCAUGCAUGUCUAAGUAUAAGCAAUUAUACCGUGAAACUGCGAAUGGCUCAUUAAAUCAGUUAUCGUUUAUUUGAUAGUACCUUACUACAUGGAUAACCGUGGUAAUUCUAGAGCUAAUACAUGCUGAAAACCCCAACUUCGGGAGGGGUGUAUUUAUUAGAUAAAAAACCAACGCCCUUCGGGGCUUCUUGGUGAUUCAUGAUAACUUUACGGAUCGCAUGGCCUUGCGCCGGCGACGGUUCAUUCAAAUUUCUGCCCUAUCAACUUUCGAUGGUAAGGUAUUGGCUUACCAUGGUUUCAACGGGUAACGGGGAAU